RNAcentral lists this ribosomal RNA (254 nucleotides) under uncultured bacterium. RNAcentral describes it as "partial 16S ribosomal RNA". It matches the Rfam family "Bacterial small subunit ribosomal RNA", at positions 524 to 776 of the family's 1533-position model. The record is from RNAcentral.
UACGAAGGGGGCUAGCGUUGUUCGGAAUCACUGGGCGGAAAGCGCACGUAGGCGGAUCGUUAAGUCGGGGGUGAAAUCCCAGGGCUCAACCCUGGAACUGCCUUCGAUACUGGCGAUCUUCGAGUCCGGGAGAGGUGAGUGGAACUCCGAGUGUAGAGGUGAAAUUCGUAGAUAUUCGGAAGAACACCAGUGGCGAAGGCGGCUCACUGGCCCGGUACUGACGCUGAGGUGCGAAAGCGUGGGGAGCAAACAGG